Molecule: ribosomal RNA, 253 nt
Filed under: uncultured bacterium
Lineage: Bacteria
Description: partial 16S ribosomal RNA
Rfam family: Bacterial small subunit ribosomal RNA
Source: RNAcentral
UACGGGGGGAGCAAGCGUUGUUCGGAUUUACUGGGCGUAAAGGGCGUGUAGGCGGUCCGCUAAGUCUGAUGUGAAAGCCCGGGGCUCACCCCCGGAAGGGCAUUGGAAACUGGCGGACUCGAGUCCCGGAGAGGAAGGUGGAAUUCCUGGUGUAGCGGUGAAAUGCGUAGAUAUCAGGAGGAAUACCGGUGGCGAAGGCGGCCUUCUGGACGGUGACUGACGCUGAGACGCGAAAGCGUGGGGAGCAAACAGG